UACGGAGGGUGCGAGCGUUGUCCGGAAUCAUUGGGCGUAAAGGGCGCGUAGGCGGCCGUCCCAAGCGUGCGGUGAAAGUCAGGGGCUCAACCCCUGAUCGGCCGUGCGAACUGGGGGGCUCGAGCACUGUAGAGGCAGGCGGAAUUCCGGGUGUAGCGGUGGAAUGCGUAGAUAUCAGGAGGAACACCGGUGGCGAAGGCGGAUCUCUGGGCCAUUACUGACGCUGAGGAGCGAAAGCGUGGGGAGCGAACAGG
This 254-nucleotide ribosomal RNA is filed under the name uncultured bacterium. Its description in RNAcentral is "partial 16S ribosomal RNA". It matches the Rfam family "Bacterial small subunit ribosomal RNA", at positions 524 to 776 of the family's 1533-position model. The record is from RNAcentral.